This is a long non-coding RNA of Cottoperca gobio, 1635 nucleotides long. NCBI's taxonomy places the organism in Eukaryota, Metazoa, Chordata, Actinopteri, Perciformes, Bovichtidae. The record is from Ensembl.
AUGUGCCGCUCUGUGUGGACCAUGUGCCUCACUGUGUGGACCAUGUGCCUCUCUGUGUGGACCAUGUGCCUCUCUGUGUGGACCAUGUGCCUCUCUGUGUGGACCAUGUGCCUCACUGUGUGGACCAUGUGCCUCUCUGUGGGGACCAUGUGCCUCUCUGUGUGGACCAUGUGCCUCUCUGUGUGGACCAUGUGCCCCUCAGUGUGGACCAUGUGCCUCAGUGUGGACCAUGUGCCUCUCUGUGGACCAUGUGCCUCUCUGUGGACCAUGUGCCUCAGUGUGGACCAUGUGCCUCUCUCUGUGGACCAUGUGCCUCACUGUGUGGACCAUGUGCCUCACUGUGUGGACCAUGUGCCUCUCUGUGUGGACCAUGUGCCUCUCUGUGUGGACCAUGUGCUUCUCUGUGGACCAUGUGCUUCUCUGUGGACCAUGUGCCUCACUGUGUGGACCAUGUGCCUCUCUGUGGACCAUGUGCUUCUCUGUGGACCAUGUGCCUCACUGUGUGGACCAUGUGCCUCUCUGUGGACCAUGUGCCUCUCUGUGGACCAUGUGCCUCACUGUGGACCAUGUGCCUCUCUCUGUGGACCAUGUGCCUCACUGUGUGGACCAUGUGCCUCACUGUGUGGACCAUGUGCCUCUCUCUGUGGACCAUGUGCCUCUCUGUGGACCAUGUGCCUCUCUGUGUGGACCAUGUGCCUCUCUGUGGGGACCAUGUGCCUCUCUCUGGGGACCAUGUGCCUCUCUCUGGGGACCAUGUGCCUCUCUGUGGGGACCAUGUGCCUCUCUGUGGGGACCAUGUGCCUCUCUGUGUGGACCAUGUGCCUCUCUGUGUGGACCAUGUGCCUCUCUGUGUGGACCAUGUGCCUCUCUCUGUGGACCAUGUGCCUCUCUGUGUGGACCAUGUGCCUCUCUGUGUGGACCAUGUGCCUCUCUGUGUGGACCAUGUGCCUCUCUGUGUGGACCAUGUGCCUCUCUGUGUGGACCAUGUGCCUCAGUGUGGACCAUGUGCCUCUCUGUGGACCAUGUGCCUCUCUGUGGACCAUGUGCCUCAGUGUGGACCAUGUGCCUCUCUCUGUGGACCAUGUGCCUCUCUGUGGACCAUGUGCCUCACUGUGUGGACCAUGUGCCUCACUGUGUGGACCAUGUGCCUCUCUGUGUGGACCAUGUGCCUCUCUGUGGACCAUGUGCUUCUCUGUGGACCAUGUGCCUCACUGUGUGGACCAUGUGCCUCUCUGUGGACCAUGUGCUUCUCUGUGGACCAUGUGCCUCACUGUGUGGACCAUGUGCCUCUCUGUGGACCAUGUGCCUCUCUGUGGACCAUGUGCCUCACUGUGGACCAUGUGCCUCUCUCUGUGGACCAUGUGCCUCACUGUGUGGACCAUGUGCCUCACUGUGUGGACCAUGUGCCUCUCUCUGUGGACCAUGUGCCUCUCUGUGGACCAUGUGCCUCACUGUGUGGACCAUGUGCCUCUCUGUGGACCAUGUGCUUCUCUGUGGACCAUGUGCCUCUCUGUGGACCAUGUGCCUCACUGUGUGGACCAUGUGCCUCUCUGUGUGGACCAUGUGCCUCUCUGUGGACCAUGUGCCUCUCUGUGGACCAUGUGCCUCUCUGUGGACCAUGUGCCUUUCUUCUAA